CACUGCACCUAGCUUUCACUGCAAUACGAACUGCAUCACCAUGAUUAUGUCUUCUCUAUGCAGGAAAGCUGCCAUGAAUGUAAUGCAAAGGGUUCACACCAGACAGUCUGUCCCAUAAUCACUUCUUCCCCCCAAGCAGAUAAACAAAAAUUUCAGUGGUAAUGCACUACACUCUGAAAUACAAGAACACUGGAUGCUCCCUGCAGAACAAAAAAAAAAAAAAAAAAAAAAAAAAAAAAAAAAAAGGUGACCUCAAACAUAAAAAAAAAAAAAAAAAAAAAAAAAAAAAAAAAAAAAAAAAAAAAACAUGCUAUCAACAUUGUCUUUGUUUUCAGUGGUUGUCGCGUCACUUAUUUAGAGGGAGGUGAACGGUGACCGCGCCAUUCGAUGAGCAACGAGCUCGUUAAGUGUUAAGUCCCUGAAAAAUCAGGAGCUUUAGUUAUAGGUGUCGAGUUCAGCUCUACGAGUGGCUCAUCGUGACCCGGGUUGGCCUCCCUUGAUUAAGGGGCGUAUGUCAUGGCACUGCGCAGAAGGUGUUUGUGAUACGGUCGUUUGAGGGUGAUACUGGUAGUGCCAAAUUUCAUCUAUGCCACUAAUGCGUAACACAAGUGUGAGAUCACUACUGGCUCAUUACAGAAGCUCAGCAGCAAUGUUCAUCUGGUUUAUUUCUGUUCGGCUGUCAAUGUUUGAGGGACAGGUCUUGCAUUCAGUUUUCGUUUCCGUAAAUCGUUGCUUAAUAUCUGGUGACACCUCACAAACAUCCGUGUUCAAUUU
Molecule: long non-coding RNA, 774 nt
Organism: Dermacentor silvarum
Lineage: Eukaryota; Metazoa; Arthropoda; Arachnida; Ixodida; Ixodidae
Exons: 3
Source: RefSeq, a predicted model, not a curated record